Molecule: ribosomal RNA, 253 nt
Filed under: uncultured Planctomyces sp.
Lineage: Bacteria; Pseudomonadati; Planctomycetota; Planctomycetia; Planctomycetales; Planctomycetaceae
Also listed under: 1 other name
Description: partial 16S ribosomal RNA
Rfam family: Bacterial small subunit ribosomal RNA
Source: RNAcentral
UACGAACUGCGCGAACGUUAUUCGGAAUCACUGGGCUUACAGGGUGCGUAGGUGGCAGAGAAAGUAGGGUGUGAAAUGCCUUGGCUCAACCAAGGCACAGCGCUCUAAACUCCUUUGCUUGAGUGAGUCAGGGGUGCACGGAACUUCCGGUGGAGCGGUGAAAUGUGUUGAUAUCGGAAGGAACACCGGCGGCGAAAGCGGUGCACUGGGGCUUAACUGACACUGAGGCACGAAAGCCAGGGGAGCGAACGGG